UCAGGAAACAGACGUAGGUGGGUUUGUAAGUCAGAUGUGAAAGCCUUCUGUUCAAAGGAAGAACGGCAUCUGAAACUGCAGAUCUUAGUGUAGGAGGGGAGAGUGGAACUUCUGGUGGAGCGGUGAAAUGCGUAGAUAUCAGAAGGAACGUCGGCGGCGAAAGCGACUCUCUGGCCUAUUACUGACACUGAGUGUGCGAAAGUUAGGGGAGCAAACGGGAUUAGAUACCCCGGUAGUCCUAACCGUAAACGAUGGGCACUAAGUAGAGGGGUUCUAA
RNAcentral lists this ribosomal RNA (277 nucleotides) under uncultured bacterium. RNAcentral's name for it is "partial 16S ribosomal RNA". It matches the Rfam family "Bacterial small subunit ribosomal RNA", at positions 562 to 834 of the family's 1533-position model. The record is from RNAcentral.